GGGCAUGUGGUGAAAUUGGUAUACACGCAAGAUUUAGGAUCUUGUGCUUAACAGCAUGCGGGUUCGAGUCCCGCCUUGCCCACCA
RNAcentral lists this transfer RNA (85 nucleotides) under Kiritimatiellaceae bacterium. Its description in RNAcentral is "tRNA-Leu". It matches the Rfam family "tRNA". Rfam says of the family: Transfer RNA (tRNA) molecules are approximately 80 nucleotides in length. Their secondary structure includes four short double-helical elements and three loops (D, anti-codon, and T loops). Further hydrogen bonds mediate the characteristic L-shaped molecular structure. tRNAs have two regions of fundamental functional importance: the anti-codon, which is responsible for specific mRNA codon recognition, and the 3' end, to which the tRNAs corresponding amino acid is attached (by aminoacyl-tRNA synthetases). tRNAs cope with the degeneracy of the genetic code in two manners: having more than one tRNA (with a specific anti-codon) for a particular amino acid; and 'wobble' base-pairing, i.e. permitting non-standard base-pairing at the 3rd anti-codon position. The record is from RNAcentral. Lineage: Bacteria; Pseudomonadati; Kiritimatiellota; Kiritimatiellia; Kiritimatiellales; Kiritimatiellaceae.